GACGAACGCUGGCGGCGUGCUUAACACAUGCAAGUCGAACGAGACGAUUGAAAGCUUGCUUUUAAAAGUCGAGUGGCAUACGGGUGAGUAACGCGUAGACAACCUGCCUUUGAGAUGGGGACAACGGUUCGAAAGGACUGCUAAUACCGAAUGUUGUAUAUUUUCCACAUGGAAGAUAUAUUAAAGAUGGCCUCUAUUUAUAAGCUAUCGCUCAAAGAUGGGUCUGCGUCUGAUUAGCUGGUUGGUGGGGUAACGGCCUACCAAGGCGACGAACAGGAGCCGGUAUGAGAGGAUGAACGGCCACAUUGGGACUGAGACACGGCCCAGACUCCUACGGGAGGCAGCAGUGGGGAAUCUUCCACAAUGGACGAAAGUCUGAUGGAGCAACGCCGCGUGAGUGAAGAAGGGUUUCGGCUCGUAAAGCUCUGUUGUCGGGGACGAAUGUGCAGUAUUUGAAUAAAGUACUGCAAUGACGGUACCUGACGAGGAAGCCACGGCUAACUACGUGCCAGCAGCCGCCGUAA
Molecule: ribosomal RNA, 524 nt
Filed under: uncultured bacterium
Lineage: Bacteria
Description: partial 16S ribosomal RNA
Rfam family: Bacterial small subunit ribosomal RNA
Source: RNAcentral